Molecule: ribosomal RNA, 1457 nt
Filed under: uncultured bacterium
Lineage: Bacteria
Description: bacterial SSU rRNA
Rfam family: Bacterial small subunit ribosomal RNA
Source: RNAcentral
AGAGUUUGAUCCUGGCUCAGGACGAACGCUGGCGGCGUGCUUAACACAUGCAAGUCGAACGGUGAUGAUGGGGCUUGCUCUGUCGGAUCAGUGGCGAACGGGUGAGUAACACGUGAGUAACCUGCCCCAGACUCUGGGGUAACCCCGGGAAACCGGAGCUAAUACCGGAUAUGACCCUUGUGCGCAUGUGCGGGGGUGGAAAGUUUUUCGGUUUGGGAUGGGCUCGCGGCCUAUCAGCUUGUUGGUGAGGUAGUGGCUCACCAAGGCGACGACGGGUAGCCGGCCUGAGAGGGCGACCGGCCACACUGGGACUGAGACACGGCCCAGACUCCUACGGGAGGCAGCAGUGGGGAAUAUUGCACAAUGGGCGAAAGCCUGAUGCAGCGACGCCGCGUGAGGGAUGACGGCCUUCGGGUUGUAAACCUCUUUCAGCAGGGAAGAAGCGCAAGUGACGGUACCUGCAGAAGAAGCACCGGCUAACUACGUGCCAGCAGCCGCGGUAAUACGUAGGGUGCGAGCGUUGUCCGGAUUAUUGGGCGUAAAGAGCUUGUAGGCGGUUGUCGCGUCUGCUGUGAAAUCCGGGGCUCACUCCGGACUUGCAGUGGGUACGGCAGGCUAGAGUGUGUAGGGAGACUGGAUUCUGGUGUAGCGUGGAUGCGCAGAUAUCAGAGGACACCGAUGGCGAAGCAGUCUCUGGGCACUACUGACGCUGAGAAGCGAAGCAUGGGAGCGACAGGAUAGAUAUCCUGGUAGUCAUGCCGUAACGUUGGCGCUAGGUGUGGGACUCAUUCCACGAGUCCGUGCCGCAGCUAACGCAUUAAGCGCCCCGCCUGGGGAGUACGGCCGCAAGGCUAAAACUCAAAGGAAUGACGGGGGCCCGCACAAGCGGCGGAGCAUGCGGAUUAAUUCGAUGCAACGCGAAGAACCUUACCAAGGCUUGACAUACACCGGACACAUCCAGAGAUGGGUGCUUCCUCGGACUGGUGUACAGGUGGUGCAUGGUUGUCGUCAGCUCGUGUCGUGUGAUGUUGGGUUAAGUCCCGCAACGAGCGCAACCCUCGUCCUAUGUUGCCAGCACGUGAUGGUGGGGACUCAUAGGAGACUGCCGGGGUCAACUCGGAGGAAGGUGGGGAUGACGUCAAAUCAUCAUGCCCCUUAUGUCUUGGGCUUCACGCAUGCUACAAUGGCCGGUACAAAGGGCUGCGAAACCGCGAGGUGGAGCGAAUCCCAAAAAACCGGUCUCAGUUCGGAUUGGGGUCUGCAACUCGACCCCAUGAAGUCGGAGUCGCUAGUAAUCGCAGAUCAGCAACGCUGCGGUGAAUACGUUCCCGGGCCUUGUACACACCGCCCGUCAAGUCACGAAAGUCGGUAACACCCGAAGCCGGUGGCCCAACCCUUGUGGGGGGAGCCGUCGAAGGUGGGACUGGCGAUUGGGACUAAGUCGUAACAAGGUAACC